RNAcentral lists this ribosomal RNA (274 nucleotides) under uncultured bacterium. RNAcentral's name for it is "partial 16S ribosomal RNA". It matches the Rfam family "Archaeal small subunit ribosomal RNA", at positions 473 to 747 of the family's 1478-position model. The record is from RNAcentral.
AAACCAGCACCUCAAGUGGUCAGGAUGAUUAUUGGGCCUAAAGCAUCCGUAGCCGGCUCUGUAAGUUUUCGGUUAAAUCUGUACGCUCAACGUACAGGCUGCUGGGAAUACUGCAGGGCUAGGGAGUGUGAGAGAUAGACGGUACUCGGGAGGAAGUGGUAAAAUGCUUUGAUCUCUCGAUGACCACCUGUGGCGAAGGCGGUCUAUCAGAACACGUCCGACGGUGAGGGAUGAAAGCUGGGGGAGCAAACCGGAUUAGAAACCCCGGUAGUCC